Molecule: non-coding RNA, 110 nt
Filed under: Notamacropus eugenii (tammar wallaby)
Lineage: Eukaryota; Metazoa; Chordata; Mammalia; Diprotodontia; Macropodidae
Source: RNAcentral
AUAUUAUAUGAAAGUAGAAAACAUAAGGAGUCUUCUUGAUAAGAAUGGAAGAGGCACCAAGUUGCUAAGGCAUUGUCACCUUUCUCUAUGUCAUCUAAUCAUAUUUGUUU